Molecule: ribosomal RNA, 572 nt
Filed under: Colletotrichum acutatum
Lineage: Eukaryota; Fungi; Ascomycota; Sordariomycetes; Glomerellales; Glomerellaceae
Description: eukaryotic LSU rRNA
Rfam family: 5.8S ribosomal RNA (bases 203-356)
Source: RNAcentral
GAACCAGCGGAGGGAUCAUUACUGAGUUACCGCUCUACAACCCUUUGUGAACAUACCUAACCGUUGCUUCGGCGGGCAGGGGAAGCCUCUCGCGGGCCUCCCCUCCCGGCGCCGGCCCCACCACGGGGACGGGGCGCCCGCCGGAGGAAACCAAACUCUAUUUACACGACGUCUCUUCUGAGUGGCACAAGCAAAUAAUUAAAACUUUUAACAACGGAUCUCUUGGUUCUGGCAUCGAUGAAGAACGCAGCGAAAUGCGAUAAGUAAUGUGAAUUGCAGAAUUCAGUGAAUCAUCGAAUCUUUGAACGCACAUUGCGCUCGCCAGCAUUCUGGCGAGCAUGCCUGUUCGAGCGUCAUUUCAACCCUCAAGCACCGCUUGGUUUUGGGGCCCCACGGCAGACGUGGGCCCUUAAAGGUAGUGGCGGACCCUCCCGGAGCCUCCUUUGCGUAGUAACUAACGUCUCGCACUGGGAUCCGGAGGGACUCUUGCCGUAAAACCCCCAAAUUCUUUACAGGUUGACCUCGGAUCAGGUAGGAAUACCCGCUGAACUUAAGCAUAUCAAUAAGCGGAG